Molecule: long non-coding RNA, 4489 nt
Organism: Neopelma chrysocephalum (saffron-crested tyrant-manakin)
Lineage: Eukaryota; Metazoa; Chordata; Aves; Passeriformes; Pipridae
Exons: 3
Source: RefSeq, a predicted model, not a curated record
AAUUAGUCUGCAUAAUCUUCCCCCAUAAAUCACUCCUCCCCAUCCCCUGCAGACUAUCGGCAGCAUCUGAAGUCAUUAGUUAAUUUAAACCUGGGAGUUCACACGUUGCAUUAUCGGAGAAGCAAUCUCCCUUCCCCGCUAAGCGCUUGCUCGGUGCAUCCCCGGCUGCUAGAUGCGAUCUGCGCCCGCUUUGAAGCAGUGAUGGGCUGCCAGCGGGUGAGCAGUUUGCCCGAGUGCUGGAAGGAGAAGGCAGCUCCGAUGCUGCUGCAGCUUCCCCAGCUGCCAGGGGAGAUCACAGAAUCAUAGAAUCAUCUGUGUUGGAAAAGAUCACCUGUCAGAUCAUCGACGCAGUGCAUCCACAGGUCACAUCUGCUGCUGCCACAUCCUGCUGCCAGGUAACCUCCCGUGCUUGCUCCCUGUCCCUCCGAAGCCUCACUGCCCAGCGGUCACCUCGCCGAGUGGAUGCCUGUGUUUGAUGAUUUUGCUGCAGGCAUACGAGCUGCACAUAUCAAAGCUGAGCCACAUCUUAUCUCCUGGCUGUGUUCCUGCCUGCUCCCAGCCUGGGAGUCCCGGCUGCAGGGUGUUCGCAGUGGUUCCCCAGCACCGUGUACUGUGGUGGGUUAGAGGUUCCAGUUUCAGGGCAGGGAGAACCCUGGGGCAGGUCUCUGGGGUGUGGGUUGGAAGGGCUGGCACAGCCGGGGCCCCAUCUGCCAGGAGGAUGCUGGUCAUUGCUGUAAGGUCAACCUUAAAUAAUGAGAAUAAUAAAAAUAAGGCAGCCUGGAGGGAAGAAGAGAGCAAACUGAAUCCUAAUGAGGUUGCAUGGGCACAUAGCAUGAUCAUUUCAUGCAAUUCAUUUUAAAAAGGAAAAAAAAUCGAGUUUAGAUUGAAGGAUGUGGGACACAGGCCAGGGCACAAUCCCACGAGGACACAGAGGUAGCCUGUUCCCCCAUCCCCACUGAGAUUCCACAUCCAUGAGCUGCUCCUGCCCUGUUGUGCUGAGGAAGGUCCAGGGCAAGCCCUGGCUGCAGAGGGGCUGGGAAAGGGGCCCAAAGGAUGGAGGGAGAUGCUGCUUGGUGCAGGAUGGGGGCAGGCAUCUUGUCAACAGCUUUACUGCAACCAAGUGUGGUGCCUGGUGUGAAGGGACAGAACAUUUGCUUUUAGGGAUGGCCAAAAUUUACUGAGUUGUGAUGGCAAACACUGAAAGAGGAAGUUUUAGAAGGGAAAUAAAACAUUAAUGCUUCAAGGCUUAAGGCAAUCCUCAGUGCAAAAGCAGGAAAGUAAUUAGUGCUGUAGAUGGGGAAAUAACCAGCAUUAAAUAGAAGCGGGGUGAGCACAGGUUGAAGGGGCUGUGAGGAGGAGGAUGGGCAGGGGCUCUCCAGGAGAUGGCUGGGAACGAGCCCAGAGUCCCCCAGGACCCCUCCAGCACACCGAGCCCCAGCAGUACCGUAUUGUAGGGGGGGCUGUGCCUGCAAUACCCCAUCCCUCCUCCUCCUCCUCGCCUCAGCUCCCGCUGGCCACAGGCCAGGUGAAACGCUCCUCUGAGCGCGGCGGGGACUGGUCCAACCCUGCACAGCUCCAAUUAUCCCCGGCUGGAGACUUUCCAGGAAUCCCAUCCCCUCUCUCUCCGCCGACCCUGCCUCUCCCAGCCUCCCCCCCUCAAAGCAAUUUGACUUUUAUAGUAAUAACUUCUGAACCCUGGAUUGGGGCCGUGCCAAGGAAAGCAGCAGAAAACAAUGUGAUGGGCCUCGGCAGGCGCGGAAACUCCAGCGACUGAGACCAGCCCUAAAAUAACUUUUGAGCGAUUGUUAUUUAUUCUGGGAGAAAGUUCGUUCAUUCACAAUUUGGAGGGGAGAUAAAUGAGGGCAGGCUGGGGCUGCCCGCCCUGCGCAGUGACAGCACGCCGUGGCUGCGGAUGCAGGGUGCCUGCAGCGCCAGGCACAGACAGAUCCCCACCAUCCUCCUGCACAUGUCCUGCUGGAAAACCUUUUUUAAAGGUAUUUGGGUUCAACUGAAAGCUGUGAGUUCAGGUAGAGGAGUCCAGCUUGAGGCUGGGGGUCUGCAUGUGCCACCAGGCACAGGGGGCUGCACAUUUUGUGUGCCUGUGUCCGCACAUGUUUCAGCUUCCCCAGCUGUGUUGUUCGACGUGGUGGCUGUGCCACAUGCCGCUGGCUUGCACGCCUGCCCCUGAGCUUUGCACGCUCGAGCCAUCGUUGUCCAAUGCGCAUCAGGUGGUGCAGGCAAACUCCAUGUGGGAACAGAUGGCAUCCUGCUGCAGGUCCCGGUGAGCAUCAGCGUGUGCACGGCAGCUCUCAGCCUACAUCAGCUGGGUAAGCAGCAAGUUGUGCAACCCCAGUAAUUCUUCAGCUCUGAGCUACCAUGACUUCCCUGCAAUUCACAGGGGCUGAACCAGGGCUCCCGGGGGAGCCUUGAGCAGCCUGGGCAACCACAGGCACUUCUGAAUCAGGGACACUCUCUGGAGGAGGCAGCCAGACAGCCAGCCCUCGGCACUGCUGCGCGUCUGCUCAUGCAGGUGUGUUUUAUGUUGCCUGUCACUGCGGUCUGGGCAUUGGUCGGGAUUUGGAGUGCAGCGAUGACUCUGCCAAACAGGGCCCAGGCUGCCUGUGUGACCCUUGGAGUGGAUGACUGGGCUCCCUUGACAGGUUUGGAGAGCAAAUUCUGGGGAAACACAGUCUUUGCCUGCUGGGUGACAAGGGUGACAGAGACCUUGCGGUGUGGCUCUUCGAUCAGGUGGGUGGGACAGGGACAGACAGUGACCUCCCUGACUAGGGAUGAGGGCCUUACCAGCUUCGUGUGCAGAUCAUCUCCAGGAAGGAUAUACAUCCAAGACUACCUGCCUACGAGCACCUCAAGUACAAGGCUUGAUCCAGCUCCACUGUGGUACAAUGCUGCAGUGGCAUGGGACAGCACUGCCAUCAUCACCCACCCUGCACAUCAGAUCUUUGAGGGUGCACUGGAGUGGGGAAACCCUGCCACAUCCUCUCCCUCCAAGGGGACAGCAGCGCUUGCCUGGGCCACCCCCUUCCUCCUGCUGCCUGCAGUCUGGGGGACCUUGCUGAGUGUCACCAAAUGUUUUUGCUUCAGGAUUUGUCUCUGACAUGUGGACACAGUGGAGCUGGGGGCCUGGAGCUGCAAAAGACGAUGACUCGGUCCUGCCCUUUGCUGAGCGAGGAGAGCACCAGGUUAUGUUUAGCAACACAGUCAGCCUGGUACUGUAUAAACUGUCGCUCGGUUGCCCUUGUGUGGGGGGAGCAGGGUGAGUGCAGGGUCAGACACAGGGCAGGAGCAGCCCUUGGCAGCGCCGGCCGGCACACACAGUUUCCUUCAUGGCACAGUGCCCGCGACGGUGAGACUGGCCCUGCUGGGCCACAUCCCUCAUCCUGCUAGGCAGGAAAGCCUUCAGCCCUGUGCUCCUCCUCGCCUCUCUGCAUCCCCUGCCCUCUGCCCCGCCACCACUGCGGGCAGCCCCAUCCUUGCCAGCUGACGUCCAUCCUCUCUGCUCUUCGGGCUGUCUGAGCAGCUCAUGAUCUUGGCAGGCAGCUUGGAAUCCUACCAGCCGUUAUUACAAUGAUUAUUUGUGUUUUCCCAGCUCAAAAGGGCUUUCCUCUCACCUCACUCUUGGCUGGCCUCGAGCCAGGUGGGACUGAGGACAGAGUGAGGAGAGGGGAGAAUCCUGCACUGUCAGAGCAAGGGACUGUGACGAGAUGCAGGAGAUGUGGCAGAGGGAAGGACAGAUCUUGUCCCUCUCCUAUAUGUUCAGAUUGGAAAUCAACACCCUCUUGGUUAAUUCAUUAGCUGUGAUUAGCAACUCUAACGUUUGGACUGGUUAAUGGGCUCUCUCUCGCUGGUAAAUCUCCAAGAGGAGUUCAGCAAGGUUAUCUGCACCAGGAAUGGCAAGGGAAGGGUGAGGAUGACUGCAAUUGAAUUAGGAAGCUGUUAAAGGAAGAAGCCAAACUGAGCCAGAGCAGGGACAAUGCAAAAUGUCCCCACAGCUAAAACACAGGGUAGAGCAUCAUUAGAACACAGGGCAGAGCACCUCACCAUGGUUGUACUCAUCUGGGUCAGGGCUGGGGACUGGGCCAGCAAAUCCCCAUGGACACGAGCACAGUCUGGGGUUUGGGGUCGUGUUAGCCAGCUCCAUACCUUGCAGAUCCCUUCACCAACACCUUCGUCUCCCUAUGUGGGCUGCAUCUUGUGCCAAGUGGGGGUUCCUCCACAGCCUGGAUUUCAUUAUUUAUUAAAUUAGCUCAGCAGUAACCUAUUUGUGAUGAUGAUGUGAGGUAGCGACCUUCAGUGUUUUCAUUAAAAUAUACACGUAUAUAUUUGUUUUCUGCGGUUAUGAAUGUAAUUCCACAAUCCACUGAGGAGCCGGUAAUUUCUGGCUGAGGUGGGAAGUUGCUGACAUCUUGUGAUACAUGACAAGAUUGAUUGUAUUUGCUUACCCUUUAACCUAAUAAAGAAAAAUAACGUU